Frankliniella occidentalis (western flower thrips) is the source of this 1863-nucleotide long non-coding RNA. RefSeq lists it as uncharacterized. NCBI's taxonomy places the organism in Eukaryota, Metazoa, Arthropoda, Insecta, Thysanoptera, Thripidae. The transcript is spliced from 3 exons. The record is from RefSeq and is a predicted model, not a curated record.
GUCAUUUGACGAAACGCCCUUAUCCUGCGGGUACCUCCCCUGAUUAUUUGGGUUCAUUUGAGGUUUCUUACAAAAUGUUAAAUGGUCGGGCUGCAGUGCUUUUUGAGCGGGAGAGUGACUUUCCCGAUAAAAACAAGGACGAGGUGCUCUCUCGUUUUACUUUAAGAUCGCAUGCUUGGGGUUCGAUUUUAAGAAACCAAAUUUUUUUAUUUUCUACUUUGUUGUCAUUAGAGCAGCAGCCGGGGGUACCCAAAGAGUCUAUUAUAGAAACUGUUAAACGCAUGUGCUUCACAUAUGUACCUGAACACUUGGACGAGAGGGGUAGACGGGCUUACAUGCGAAAAUAUAAAUUGUAGGAUGUGUGUGUGUAUGUGUGUGUGUGUGCGUGUUGGUGUAAAAAUUGUAUAUAAAUAGGGGGUAUGCUUGGUUAUAAAGUUCAUUCUUGUAGUUGAGUUUUGAGCGUAAAGAUGUCGAGGGUUUUCUUUCUUAUGUUAUGUGUUAGUUUUAAAUUUGUCUUUGCUGAGGUGAACGAUACUGUGAAGAAUGUGACUUCUUAUUGUUUUGAUCAACGGAUAGCUGGGGAUAUAAUAGUAUUAAGUUUUUUUGUUUUCUUUGCUCCAUGUUGCUUAAUUAUUUCUCAGUGUGUGUUAGAUAAUUUUGAGGAGGAAGAGCAGGAGGUAACGGAGCUAAGGAGGGCAAGUGUGUGAUUUGACAAAGCUUCGCAGAGCAAAGCUCUCUUUGUUUUUGUUGUAUCUCGCAAUGGUGCGUCAGUGCGUGCAAGAUGUAAGUUUAUUUUUUGCAAACAACGUUGAAAUCGUUUUCUUGUUUCUUAUCGUAACAUGUUUCAUGAAAUUGUGCGUGUUUCUAAUCGUAGUGUACUUUUUUACUUUUUCAGCUUCGCGCGACGGUGAUUGAGUCAUCGUCAGGGCUACCCACCAGGACGUUUUGGUCGGAGGCACGUGGGCAAGGGGUUGCUAAAAAGCAGUUGGGCGACUUGUUAGAUGUUGAGAAUGUACAUAAAUUUGGAACGUUGAUUGAGAAUAUCGAGUGGCUUUUCCACUUUGCCAAAAUCUGCGGCGUGGAGAGAAGGAAAUAUGAGAAGAAAGCGAGGAGGUUGGUCACCUUAAAAGCCAAGUUGGAGCGGUUACGCCUUAAGGAGCGUAAACGGUAGAGGUUGUUGAACUUCUCUCCACGCAUGCGUUGUCACGACCUCGCAUGAACUCCCCUAGGCGUGGUCGCCGUGGCUCGGGGGGAAUGGUUGAACUUCCCCCGGUAGGGCCAGCCCCGCUGAAUGGAGUUUCCACGCCUGUCUGGACCUUCCACCCACGCCCCUCUCAACACGUGUCCUGGGGAGAUUGGCAGAAACUUCCCCUUGCCCGAGGACAGCCCCGGGUGAAUGGGCUUCCCUUCUCUUGGCCCGCCCCGGCAUGGAGAGUCCGGGUGAAUGGGUCUACCCCGCGCGAUGGGAGGACCCCGUGAUCCUCGGUUGGGUAUCCCGUCAGCAGCGACCGUCACCGUCAUUGGGUAUCCACAGGACCGUCCAUUGCUCCGUUGACCUCAAAUAGUUUGAAAAGAUGGGAGGGGGAGGGUGGGUAGAUUUUAAGCUUUCAUUUUUGUGAAUAAUUGUUAACCUUGUGUAAAUAAAUUGUAUUUUCAAUUGACUUUGAUAUCCUCUUGACCACCAUCAUUCCUUAUGGUCUUCAAUUAUAAAUAAUAAAUAAACAUUGAGUUUGAUCGUAGAAAGAAAUUAAAAGAGAAACACUUUGACGUACCAUAGCUAAAAAUUCUUUUUUCAAAAACACACUUGCUUUUAAAACGAUAGCAGAUAUGAAAAACGCUUGUUUCAUAUGGAAUCAGACUUAU